Molecule: long non-coding RNA, 322 nt
Filed under: Cavia porcellus (domestic guinea pig)
Lineage: Eukaryota; Metazoa; Chordata; Mammalia; Rodentia; Caviidae
Description: lncRNA (ENSCPOG00000037084.1)
Source: RNAcentral
AGGGCUUGAGGCUGCUGGUCAGAGUCACUGUAGGCAAGGGACACAGAGGCUGGGGAGGGCAAGAUCAGGUGCAGCUGUGGACAACUGAGGAUGAAUUCAGGCAUCACAGCACCAGCAAAUGGCAGGAGCACAUCACAAAAGGUCCUGGCACGUUGGAGAAGAAGGACAAAGGAUGAAAUGGGAACAGUGGAGCAGAGGAAGCAUGGCUUGGAGCAAGAGGCUACCAGGAGGAGUUUGUAACCAGGAUGAAGUUGUGAAUGCCUCAUUUGCAGAGAGCUCUAAAUGGGACAAACUGGAGCAAGUAUGCCACCUGCUCAUGUGA